CUUCCCCAGCAGGCCUUCUUUCUUGCAGAGUGUUUGUGUUGGAGAAGGGGGUGGUCUGCUCUGCCCUGGCAUAGCCUAAGCCUCGGGGUUGAGUCCAGAGACUAUGGGUUGAGCCCUACCUACUGACUUGUUUUUAGCUGAGACUAUGGAUUUGGCUUGCAAGGUGCUGGGACAGUUAAGAGUAAAAGCAGGCUUUUUCUUUUGACCCUCUGGUUUUUGUGCCUGGCAGUGUGAUUAGGAGGGAGGCAGAGAGGAGCAACAGACGAAAAGGGGGUGUGGGGAUCCCCAGGGAGGCAUUGUGGAGACCAGUGUGGGUGCCUUCGAGAACUUUCUAGUGAGACCUGGAAGACCCUUUUAGAUGGGCGUGCAGGGUGGGUAGGCUCUCAGAUGGUUCGGGGCUCAGAAGGGGCUGUGUGUGCCCAAGCUUCCAGGAAAAGGUUAGGCUAACCAAUGCCUGUGAUGAUUGCAGCCUCCCUAGCUGCCCAAGGACUGUUCCUAAUUCCAGGCCCCGAUGGGGAAGUGGAGCGGCUGGGGUGCCCCUUCUCCAUCUCUCUAGCUGCUUGGCUGAGACCUAGAAAUGGAGGGCUGCAAGCCAGAGCCCUGAAGAAGGUAUUAGGUUCUUACUCUGAAAGGUUCUGGCUGAGUCCCACGGCAGUGCCUAACCUGGCUGUGCUCCCCUGGUCUGGAGGUCCAAGAGGACCUGCUCUUUGCACCUUGCUCUUCUUGUCCACUGGGGGCUCUGCCGACAGGAAUUGGGGUACAUUUCAGAGAGGCAACUUUUUUUGCUGAUCCCAGAGUCCAGCCGAGACCUCUCUCUCUGUCUGGAGCACCCCAAAUCAGGCACAUUGCCGUUGGUCGAGUUUGUGCUGUGCCUGGACUGAUAGGAUUCCAGUUCCAGGAGAAAGUGUGGCCGCCAGUCAGCUCUACCACAGGCAGGCAUAGACCAGCACAAAUAAAAUGGGGAAAGUAGUUUGAGGUGGAUAUGGUUGGGGGCUUUGGUCUGGGCGAGGGGCAGGGCUCACCAGCCUCCAGCCUACCUGUGUCCUGCUGGCCUGCACCUCUUCCUACCUGACCCUUAGCUCAGCUGUGGCAGUGCUUCUUCCAGCUCCGCCACCGGCCUGGAUGACUCAACAUGUGGGGGCAGGAGGCCGAGGAAGCUGGAAAUGGCCCUCCAAGGCAUUUGUGCAGAUUUGGGGGAUUUUUUUUUUUUUUUAAACAUACUGGAAGGACCCUUUCCAGCCUCUUAUACAUAUCUGCCAGGUCUCUUCCGCUCCCCCUCAAUCCUUUAUGGAGCUUGUGUUUAAAACAAGGAGAUGAUGCCCCCUGGUUUUUCGGAGCACAGAACUCUAAAGUCACAAGAUUUGAGCAGGAUGUUCCCUUAGAGCAGAGCGGUCCACCUCCUAAUUUUACAAAACAAUUAAACAGUUGCAAUGGCUUUGUUGAAAGUAUAUUUGUUUAAAAAAGAAACAAGGCGCCGUAGAGCUGGAUGCUUCAAUGCAGUCGGGAUGUGUUUGCGGGGGAAUUUUGGUGCUGGGCGAACCGCAGGUCCGGAGUUCCGAGCCUGGGUCCAGCUAGGCGGCAGCCUCCAGGCGGGCAUUAUUCACGCCCCUCACGGUGCCCUCCUCCUCCUUCGCCCCCUCUUUCUUCCAAUAAGGCCAAUUAGGUAUCUGCACUAGGCCGGCCAGUUGGGGGCUGAGGAGGGGUUGUUAUCAAGACAAUCCCGUGGACAAAUACCCCGGGCGGGUCUCGCCUCAGCGUUUCUCAGGGAGAGCCAGUGCAGCGAGGCAGGCAGGGGCUCACUGGGGAAGCGAUGUUCUUUGCACAAUAAAAGUGUGUUUCACGAUUUAUUUUUUUCCUUUGAGGAUCGCAGAUGCGUAUUUAUUGCAUCUGUGCGUAAAUGCUUUUAAGACGAGAAUCCAGGCAAGGGGGCGCAGAAACGUGCCUUCUCGAUUUUGUGCAGCCUGUGUGUCAGCGGUAUAGGGAAAUUAACACACCAUCCCCCGCCCCCCAGUAACUUUUGAAAAAUAUGUCCUCGCCCGGUGAGGAGCUGCGGGGUUCGGUCAUAGAAAGAGGUUGCUAUUUUUAUUAAGCGUUUCUUCUUCCUUUCGAUUUGUUUUCAAGAUCCGGGACACCCAGAAGCGCAACGUUAUUUUACGCACCACGGGGGUGAUUAAUUGACGUUCGGGCACAUUUAAUACUAUUUGCUAAAAUGCACCCGCACGUCCUGGACGGAUGCAACAGAGCGCGCGGGCCACGGCAUUUGGGCAAUUUCACGCGUAACUCGAAAAGUUUACUUUUUCUCCGUACGUGUUUUCUGGAGGGCUCUUUCCUUAAAAAGGGGGGGGGGGGGCCGUCGGAUCGUUUUGCGCCCGAGGCUCUGGCCCCUCGGCAGCCGGAGCUCCUUCUCCGACAGAAAACCAGGUUAGAAGCCGGGAGGAAACGGGGCCUCCAAACGCAAAAUCACGGACACCUCUCUCUCCUUCCUCCUCCUGAGAACACAUGAAAAAAAAAAUUUUUUUUUUAAUGACAACAUAAUGCCCCCCCCCGCGCCCCAUUUUUUUUUUUCUUGGUGGCUUUGGCCAAGUAGAAUUAUGUAAGUCCCCUUUCUUGCCGUCUGUCGCUCGUCUGGAAAGCGUUUCUAUCCUGAGGAGGUGGCGAAUUCCUGGAGGAGGCUGCGGAAGGGGGGAGGGUCGGUGGGAGAGUCCAAAAAUCUGUCACAAAAUGGAGUCUAAUCGCUUGUAAGACAGCUCCCAGGCCGGGCGACCCGAGAUUCGUUGGUGUGCGAGCGGGAGCCUGCGCGCGCCGGAGGACGCGGCGCUCCUGCUCGGGCCACGCUCCCACCUCGGCGUCCUGGGCUGGCGGCGCCCUUCCGCCGGCCGGGCCUGCCCGGGCGGCCUCGCCUCUCGGCACGCAGAGUUACAGGGCUCCGCUGAGCCUGCGAGGGUCCCCUUGGGCUCCCCUGCCCAGGAUUUUUCUUGAGUAGGAGAAGAAGGCUGUGAGGAUUUCCUCUGGGGUAUGUGACUGUCGACCCUCAGCUCCCUCCCGUCCUGCCCCUUGGAGCCAGGCUUAGGGCCACACAGUCCUGGCAUCUACCUGAGCCGCUUCUGUAAAAUGGGGACAUACCCACCUGGGAGAAAGGAUUCUAAUAAGGAUUCGAGAUAACAUGCCCCAAAGGACCUGGCAUCUUGCCUGGCAUGUUGUUAAGACUCUGGAAAUUAUUGUUGUCGCUAUUAUCACCAUCAGUGUGGCAAGAAUGUCUUGUCGCCGAAGACAUACCAAACUGCCUCUGUGUUCCAUGCCAGAGAAAGGUGCAGCUGGCAUGGUAGGCUUGCCGAGAACCUCUCUGUGCGGGGAAGAUGAGGAGCACCCCUGGGAAAAUUGCUCCCUUUGCCUGAGUGGGGCACUGUGAGGGCCAACACUCCUUCAGUGAUGAAAAGAACUCUAGGUUCUGAGACAGAACUGGAUUCACCUCCCAGCCCCACCAUUCAGCAGCCGUGUGAUCUUAACCAAGUGACAACCUGUCUCUGAGCCCCAGGUUCUCCAUCAGCAAAUUAGGAGUGAUGAUACAACAUCCCGGGGUGGUUGGAAGGAUAGCACGAGGUAUCUGGUGAGGCUGCAGUAAGUGUUCCAGACUCCAUGGGAUCCAGUAUCGUCCUCACGACCUCCAGAGAGGCAGAAAAACUGAUUGUAGAGGUCAGAACAAAUGCCACCUGUGCAUGAUCGGGAAGGGCAGGUAUCAGGAUGAGCCUGGUGUUCUGGCCUGUUUCUCUUUGGGGCAGGGGUGCGUGAGAGGGAGUGGAAGUUGGUCCAGAGCGAAGAUCUUUCCACUGGGGAGCAACUGGAAUCUCUAGAGUCUGAGUACAGCUUGGAAAAUCCUACACAGAAGUAUAAUUUCAUAUUUGGAAAACC
Long non-coding RNA from Felis catus (domestic cat), 3909 nucleotides. RefSeq lists it as uncharacterized. The record is from RefSeq and is a predicted model, not a curated record. The transcript is spliced from 2 exons. Lineage: Eukaryota; Metazoa; Chordata; Mammalia; Carnivora; Felidae.